Molecule: ribosomal RNA, 432 nt
Filed under: uncultured bacterium
Lineage: Bacteria
Description: partial 16S ribosomal RNA
Rfam family: Bacterial small subunit ribosomal RNA
Source: RNAcentral
AGCGAACGCUGGCGGCAGGCCUAACACAUGCAAGUCGAACGAACUCUUCGGAGUUAGUGGCGGACGGGUGAGUAACACGUGGGAACGUGCCUUUAGGUUCGGAAUAACUCAGGGAAACUUGUGCUAAUACCGAAUGUGCCCUUCGGGGGAAAGAUUUAUCGCCUUUAGAGCGGCCCGCGUCUGAUUAGCUAGUUGGUGAGGUAAAGGCUCACCAAGGCGACGAUCAGUAGCUGGUCUGAGAGGAUGAUCAGCCACAUUGGGACUGAGACACGGCCCAAACUCCUACGGGAGGCAGCAGUGGGGAAUCUUGCGCAUUGGGCGAAAGCCUGACGCAGCCAGGCCGCGUGAAUGAUGAAGGUCUUAGGAUUGUAAAAUUCUUUCACCGGGGACGAUAAUGACGGUACCCGGAGAAGAAGCCCCGGCUAACUUCGU